This is a long non-coding RNA of Dermacentor andersoni, 912 nucleotides long. RefSeq lists it as uncharacterized. Lineage: Eukaryota; Metazoa; Arthropoda; Arachnida; Ixodida; Ixodidae. The record is from RefSeq and is a predicted model, not a curated record.
CGCAUCGUACUUCCGAGGGGGGUAGGCAAUGCUUUAUUGAUGGUUAGGAUGCUUCUUUUGAGCUUGUUCUAUUUGAAACGUGUGCUGUUCUGUGUUGUAUGGGUGAUUUCAAUCAAUGCAUGCACUGUUCGCUUGACUUUGCCGAGCGCUUGUAGCCUCUGCCUCAAGGGGGUAUCAGCCAUUGGAUUUUUUCCUGGCUUUAGGGGUUAUGAGUCAUUGCUGAUGAUGAUAUGUUUCAUGCCACUAGACGCCGUUUUUUGGGGUAUGAGCCAUUACCUAUCAACCUUCUUACCUUGUACUUCCUCCAAAAGGAGACGAUUCCGUUGUCGGAUUCGAGAGUGCCACCGUGAAGGACGCUAAAGUGGGAAAAAAGGUGAAAAUUGACGCGACAGUUUCCGUCAAGACUACCGUCGGCCAGAACCCAGUUCUGCAGUUGUCCUUCUCCAAACCCAACGGUACCACAGUACCUUGCGUGGAGGACUUUUUGCCAUGCAAUCUGAACCUCUGCGAUGGAAAAACGCGCAUCGAGAAACGACUGAACAAGGAUUGGAACAACAGCUGCCCCGUCCAGCCAGGCACGUACACGGCGGAGCUCGAAUUCCGUCUGCCCAAAAACGAGGAGGCCAAGGAAUACUUCGGGGAUGGAAACGUUGAAAUCACUACAAAAAUUGUGGACGACGGCCAAGUUCUGGGGUGUGUCCAGUACCCAGUCAAAGUGGACGUCGAUUGAAAAGUGACGUCAGGAGCUGAUGUCUCUACAAAAUGCUGUUUACGAGAUGAAGCCUCAUAUAGGCGACGAAUCUUUCUGCACACCAUUUUUGUAUAUCUUCUCCUAGGUGAAGUAACAUGCGCAAAUGUAUUUUUUUCCUGUUGGCAAUAUAACUCUCUGAAUAAAUUCUUGAAAUUAGGAAG